Molecule: long non-coding RNA, 1036 nt
Organism: Eubalaena glacialis (North Atlantic right whale)
Lineage: Eukaryota; Metazoa; Chordata; Mammalia; Artiodactyla; Balaenidae
Exons: 3
Source: RefSeq, a predicted model, not a curated record
UCUGUAUCCAGGUGCUUAGUCUGAUUGCCUAGGAAGUUGCAGAAGUAAUUGCUGUGAAAAUAACUUACUUUCCCCAGAAAACACAGGAUCUGGCCUCCAUCUAGUUCCUUAAGGCUUCUUCUGCACAAGGGUCCGAGACCCCAUGAUACGGCUGCAGCGAGGCUCUGUGCCAAUCAUGGACUCACAUAGGACAGUCUCUAAUGAUAGGACAAGUACCCUUGGACCUGUGUUCCUACAACUUCUGCAAGAGCCUCCUGGGCACAUACCCAGCAUGGGAGAUUGCUGGGCAUAAGGGGAUCUAUACCUUCUCUCUGGAAACUUUUAGAAUUGUCAUUUUUGUUUUUGGUUUCCUGGAACAUAUUUAUUUUCUUUACCUUCUGAGCCCCAUGAUGUGACAGCAAAGGAGUAAAAACUGGUAUAAACUUCCAAUAAUGUAGAGAACAUGGAGAGAGUCUUCAGAAGAUAGGCAAUUAAGUGAUGUGUGGAUUAUAAGAAGUAGGACGGUCACCAAAUGGAACUUGGGUCCACUCAUCCGAUGUGCAGCAAAGCCAAUCCGCUGACACAGGGCUAUGGCGAAGGAAAGUGGAGCGUUUAUUACAGGGCACCAAGCAAGGAGAUAGCUCCUCCUCAAGGGAUAUAUUGAUACAUAACAAUCUGAUACAAAUCUUUGAGUUCUUCUAUAGGAACUAAGGUCCUCACCCAGGUAACUUCAGGCUGAGCACAAGAUUCCUGGAGCACUGCCCUGUUACCUCACCACUAACCAAUCAGAAGAAAGUCAUGCACCGCACAGCCCUCACCCCAAAUUUUGCUUUUUAAAACUCUCCUCCGAAAACCAACAGGGAGUUUGGGUCUUUUGAGCAUGACCUGCCUGUUCUCCCUGCUUGGCCUUUGGAAUAAACAUUUCUCUGCUCCAAACUUUGAUGUUUCCAUUUGUUUGGCCUUACUGUGAGUAGGGCACAUGAACUUGGGUUCAACACAGUUUCGCUCCUGUCUAAAGAAAUCAAACAACCUGUUUUUAGUGUGGGCAAUAAUGCCA